AUGAUACCUGGGCCCCUGGUGGGGGGAGAUGUAAGAAAAAUUACCAAUUUGACCCUUAGUCCCAAUGUUAUAUUUGGUUAUUUACUAAAAUCUCCUUUUGGUGGAGAAGGGUGGAUUGUUAGUGUAGAUGAUUUAGAAGAUAUAAUUGGUGGGCAUGUAUGGUUGGGUUUUAUUUGUGUAUUUGGCGGAAUUUGGCAUAUUUUAACCAAACCCUUCGCAUGGGCUCGCCGUGCAUUUGUAUGGUCUGGAGAAGCUUACUUGUCUUAUAGUUUAGCUGCUUUAUCUGUCUUUGGUUUUAUCGCUCUAGAUAUCUAUUUCUAUAUAUUAGUAUUAGUUAGUAGUACUAUUAGUUACCGAUCCCGGCUCUGUGAGUUCUUUCUUCCGUGA
Molecule: ribosomal RNA, 387 nt
Filed under: Triticum aestivum (bread wheat)
Lineage: Eukaryota; Viridiplantae; Streptophyta; Magnoliopsida; Poales; Poaceae
Description: partial small subunit ribosomal RNA
Source: RNAcentral